This 117-nucleotide non-coding RNA is filed under the name Chlorocebus sabaeus (green monkey). The record is from Rfam by way of RNAcentral. Lineage: Eukaryota; Metazoa; Chordata; Mammalia; Primates; Cercopithecidae.
GCCGGGUGCGGUGGCUCACGCCUGUAAUCCCAGCACUUUGGGAGGCCGAGGCAGGUGGAUCACCUGAGGUCAGGAGUUCGAGACCAGCCUGGCCAACAUGGUGAAAUCCUGCCUCUA